GGUGAAUAGUCACAGUUUU
Molecule: small nuclear RNA, 19 nt
Filed under: Arabidopsis thaliana (thale cress)
Lineage: Eukaryota; Viridiplantae; Streptophyta; Magnoliopsida; Brassicales; Brassicaceae
Description: snRNA_16127
Source: RNAcentral